Non-coding RNA from Strongylocentrotus purpuratus (purple sea urchin), 46 nucleotides. The record is from Rfam. Lineage: Eukaryota; Metazoa; Echinodermata; Echinoidea; Camarodonta; Strongylocentrotidae.
AAAACGGCUCUUUUCAGAGCCACCAAAACUCCAAGAAAGAUUCAAU